RNAcentral lists this ribosomal RNA (301 nucleotides) under uncultured bacterium. RNAcentral's name for it is "partial 16S ribosomal RNA". It matches the Rfam family "Bacterial small subunit ribosomal RNA", at positions 509 to 807 of the family's 1533-position model. The record is from RNAcentral.
CAGUCGCCGCGGUAAAACGAAGGGGGCUAGCGUUGUUCGGAUUUACUGGGCGUAAAGGGCGCGUAGGCGGACUGAUAAGUCAGGGGUGAAAUCCCAAGGCUCAACCUUGGAACUGCCUUUGAUACUGUUUGUCUUGAGUUCGAGAGAGGUAAGUGGAACUGCGAGUGUAGAGGAGAAAUUCGUAGAUAUUCGCAAGAACACCAGUGGCGAAGGCGGCUUACUGGCUCGAAACUGACGCUGAGGCGCGAAAGCGUGGGGAGCAAACAGGAUUAGAUACCCCGGUAGUCCCUGUCUCUUAUAC